UACGUAGGGUGCAAGCGUUAAUCGGAAUUACUGGGCGUAAAGCGUGCGCAGGCGGUUCUAUAAGACAGAUGUGAAAUCCCCGGGCUCAACCUGGGAGCUGCAUUUGUGACUGUAGAGCUGGAGUGCGGCAGAGGGGGAUGGAAUUCCGCGUGUAGCAGUGAAAUGCGUAGAUAUGCGGAGGAACACCGAUGGCGAAGGCAAUCCCCUGGGCCUGCACUGACGCUCAUGCACGAAAGCGUGGGGAGCAAACAGG
This 253-nucleotide ribosomal RNA is filed under the name uncultured bacterium. RNAcentral's name for it is "partial 16S ribosomal RNA". It matches the Rfam family "Bacterial small subunit ribosomal RNA", at positions 524 to 776 of the family's 1533-position model. The record is from RNAcentral.